RNAcentral lists this ribosomal RNA (1422 nucleotides) under Staphylococcus aureus. RNAcentral describes it as "partial 23S ribosomal RNA". It matches the Rfam family "Bacterial large subunit ribosomal RNA", at positions 789 to 2211 of the family's 2925-position model. The record is from RNAcentral. Lineage: Bacteria; Bacillati; Bacillota; Bacilli; Caryophanales; Staphylococcaceae.
UUGAAAAGUGAGCGGAUGAACUGAGGGUAGCGGAGAAAUUCCAAUCGAACCUGGAGAUAGCUGGUUCUCUCCGAAAUAGCUUUAGGGCUAGCCUCAAGUGAUGAUUAUUGGAGGUAGAGCACUGUUUGGACGAGGGGCCCCUCUCGGGUUACCGAAUUCAGACAAACUCCGAAUGCCAAUUAAUUUAACUUGGGAGUCAGAACAUGGGUGAUAAGGUCCGUGUUCGAAAGGGAAACAGCCCAGACCACCAGCUAAGGUCCCAAAAUAUAUGUUAAGUGGAAAAGGAUGUGGCGUUGCCCAGACAACUAGGAUGUUGGCUUAGAAGCAGCCAUCAUUUAAAGAGUGCGUAAUAGCUCACUAGUCGAGUGACACUGCGCCGAAAAUGUACCGGGGCUAAACAUAUUACCGAAGCUGUGGAUUGUCCUUUGGACAAUGGUAGGAGAGCGUUCUAAGGGCGUUGAAGCAUGAUCGUAAGGACAUGUGGAGCGCUUAGAAGUGAGAAUGCCGGUGUGAGUAGCGAAAGACGGGUGAGAAUCCCGUCCACCGAUUGACUAAGGUUUCCAGAGGAAGGCUCGUCCGCUCUGGGUUAGUCGGGUCCUAAGCUGAGGCCGACAGGCGUAGGCGAUGGAUAACAGGUUGAUAUUCCUGUACCACCUAUAAUCGUUUUAAUCGAUGGGGGGACGCAGUAGGAUAGGCGAAGCGUGCGAUUGGAUUGCACGUCUAAGCAGUAAGGCUGAGUAUUAGGCAAAUCCGGUACUCGUUAAGGCUGAGCUGUGAUGGGGAGAAGACAUUGUGUCUUCGAGUCGUUGAUUUCACACUGCCGAGAAAAGCCUCUAGAUAGAAAAUAGGUGCCCGUACCGCAAACCGACACAGGUAGUCAAGAUGAGAAUUCUAAGGUGAGCGAGCGAACUCUCGUUAAGGAACUCGGCAAAAUGACCCCGUAACUUCGGGAGAAGGGGUGCUCUUUAGGGUUAACGCCCAGAAGAGCCGCAGUGAAUAGGCCCAAGCGACUGUUUAUCAAAAACACAGGUCUCUGCUAAACCGUAAGGUGAUGUAUAGGGGCUGACGCCUGCCCGGUGCUGGAAGGUUAAGAGGAGUGGUUAGCUUCUGCGAAGCUACGAAUCGAAGCCCCAGUAAACGGCGGCCGUAACUAUAACGGUCCUAAGGUAGCGAAAUUCCUUGUCGGGUAAGUUCCGACCCGCACGAAAGGCGUAACGAUUUGGGCACUGUCUCAACGAGAGACUCGGUGAAAUCAUAGUACCUGUGAAGAUGCAGGUUACCCGCGACAGGACGGAAAGACCCCGUGGAGCUUUACUGUAGCCUGAUAUUGAAAUUCGGCACAGCUUGUACAGGAUAGGUAGGAGCCUUUGAAACGUGAGCGCUAGCUUACGUGGAGGCGCUGGUGGGAUACUACCCUAGCUG